GCCUCGGUAGCUCAGUCGGCAGAGCGCGUGCCUUGUAAGCCCGUGGCCGCGGGUUCGAGCUCCGCCCGAGGUG
RNAcentral lists this transfer RNA (73 nucleotides) under Perkinsus marinus ATCC 50983. It matches the Rfam family "tRNA". From Rfam's summary of the family: Transfer RNA (tRNA) molecules are approximately 80 nucleotides in length. Their secondary structure includes four short double-helical elements and three loops (D, anti-codon, and T loops). Lineage: Eukaryota; Perkinsozoa; Perkinsida; Perkinsidae. The record is from Rfam by way of RNAcentral.